Molecule: long non-coding RNA, 1917 nt
Organism: Oncorhynchus kisutch (coho salmon)
Lineage: Eukaryota; Metazoa; Chordata; Actinopteri; Salmoniformes; Salmonidae
Source: Ensembl
GGUAGCACUUAAAGUAGAUGGCUCGAGCUAGCAAAAAGACAGUAAUAGAGAACAACAGAUUAAAACUAAAAUGAUACUUGGAGAUAGCAGGAGUUCUCUCAGGUUUUACGUGUGGGAGAUUCUGCACUCCACCAUCCCGUAAGAUGAACAAACACGUCCAGAAGAUUCAGAAACAGCAUAAAAAGAGCAAGCCUGGACCGUGGGGAAAAGCAAACAAACAAAUCAACAAGAAAAAGCCAGCACAUUUUUCCUCUGCACAGAGAGAGCGAGAGAGACAGUUGUGACAAGAAAAGACAGGGCUCUGGCACGUAGGCACUAGGCAGGUCGUCACGAAGCCCGACUAGUGAGUGACUGAACUACUAUCAUCACUCGGAAUCCACUGCACUCAUUUUAACCCUCUGAAGCUGAUCUGCACAAGAUUGAGUUAGAGAAAAGAGGUUAGCACCAUACUCAGCUCCAAGAAGAGAGAAAAGAUACGCAAGCACCAGCCUUCAAGGUGGCAAAGCCCCCAAAACAAGACCCCCUCGCCGCCCCCAUUCUGUCCCAGAGAUCACAUCACAGGGAUCCUGAACAGUACUCACGUGCAUACAAAACAAGUUGAGAAAAGAAGAUCUGAGUCUCAUAACAACACCAUGUAACAUGCCUUUGUUCCAAUUAUACCAGUUCUUAAAGGAAAACUCAACCCGAAAACUCUGCAUCACACGGGGGAUGAUUUAUGUCAUUUUUAAGUUACAUAUCUUGAAAACUUGAGUGCCGACAAGCAAAGCAUUUUUGGGACUAUAUCAACAAUGGACUAAUGAAACAAACACCAAACGACGAUAUUGGGGUGGAAUUCUCCUUUAAGAAGCCAUAGAUAAUGCUGCGAAAUAGUGACUACAUCGUUUUUCUCUGGUAGCUUUUUUGCAAUACGUAAUGAUUCCAUGGCUAUUUAGAGGGCGUACCGGCUAAUAUGCUGUUCAAACAAAGCUAAUGUACAUGUAUGGGGCCUGCAACACAAAAUGGAUAUGUCAUUCACACUAGAGACAAGGGGUCAAUAACGACAAAUAAUACAUGAUUAAUACAUGAUUCGGCUCUUGGAUGGGGUAAGCUGGGGUAAGCUAAGGUCAAAGGCUGAAGGUAGUGAUAAAAACAAGAAAUGAGUCAGACAGAACUUAUGCAUAUUGUGUUGCCAUAUGCAUAACAAAUAUAUUUCACACUAUAAGACAUCACAACAAAUACCAAGGUGACCUGUAUAGUCAAAGUAUGGAAAUGAUUUUUUUUAAACAAAAUACUUAUAGCAAUAUAUUUAUGCAUUUACUGAUGGGGGGGGGACGGGACUGUUAACCAAAUACAUUUUGGUUAAGCUGGAUUCCGUAGAGACCUGUAUGAAAGUCUUUUUUACAUAGUAUGCACCUGUAGAAACGUAUUUGGACUGUGUACAAGACCGACAGCUUUCCUUGCAUAAACACAAGGAGGGGAACGAACAAUUAUUGACAGAAAUAUUGACAGUGCAGUGAGGUAAUGCUAUGUGAGGUCUGAAAUGUUAUUUUAGGGUCCAGUUCAAGGAAAGGAUAUUUCAGUUGCACUGACGAAAAAGGUGGCCGUGACUAUGAAUUAAGACUGUUCCAGUCCCUCCGUGCCUUGGUUCCCGUAAUACACAGUUAAGCCAUUCAGCUCUGAAGUACUUUCUCCCCAAACUCUCAUUAGAUACACUCAAAUAAGCACUCAAAUUAGAGCCACCUCCCAAAGGUCAAAAAGUAGAUUUUGAUAAUAUCAUAUUAAAAAAAUGAAUUUAUUUCAUAUGCUCAAAAGAGUAUUACUCUUCAAUAUCUGAGUGUGCUUCUUUAACAUAAUGAAGAAACUCGAAGCUCUUGUGAUAUUAAUAACAUCUCAAUUUCAUAUUUGACUAUCUGUUUCAAACAGCUCUCUAUCUCAGGU